Molecule: long non-coding RNA, 1349 nt
Organism: Pan troglodytes (chimpanzee)
Lineage: Eukaryota; Metazoa; Chordata; Mammalia; Primates; Hominidae
Exons: 2
Source: RefSeq, a predicted model, not a curated record
CCUGGAAAAGAAUCAAAUGCUAAAGUCAAAAGCAGGUCAAAUGCUAAACUCAGAUGCUUUUGAAGGACAGAUGAAUUAACAUAAUAAAGAUAUGAAAAUGUCCCACGUUACUCAGUAAUGCAGUCAGCUAUAUGUUAAGAUUACUCAAAACCCACAUAACACAGCAAAUGCAAGAAGCUUGAGACACUGCAUGAGCAGCCGGGCUGGAGACAGACAGGAGGGAUGAUGACUGCCAGGCAAUCUGCUCUGAAGAGAGAAGGCCAUAUUUACACAUCUGAUGAAAAAGGACCUCGGAGCUGUGCUGCUUUCUAUGUUUCUUCCAGCAAUGACCCAAGUCUACGUCUGACAGCCUCAGUCCAGUAAGGAGCUGUUUUUCUCCAGAGUGAAAAGAUGAUUUUCAUCUUGACUCUGGGAAACCUCAAAGGUAGAUCUCCUCACCAUUACAAGAACAAUUAUAUUUAUAAUUCAAGCUGAGUUGUGACUCCACUUUGCCCUACAUGGGGUUUAAAGAUGGUAAAACUGAACUCCAUUCUCAUUUGGAAGUACCUGUGAGUAAACAUUUUUUCCCACAGCACAGCACUGGCCAUUGCUAACUGACUCCCUGCCAGCUUCUAUAACAAUGGAUUUUGGACUCUUCUAAUUUUUAAAAUUUAGGUCCUAGAAUAUACUUAUCAUUUUAAUUCAACAUGUAGGAAAUCAAAUGGAUUUCGAAGACUCAGAAGUCAUUGUUUCUUCAGUGUUCAAACCCAAUGCCCAGACUUACACUCAGGUGACAUGAGUGUGAUCAGCCACGUGUGGGAACUAAAACAGCCUCUUCCCAAGUAGAGGUUUGGAGAGAUUAUGAUGGAGUCAAUAAUGACUCUCACAUACCCUCUGGGCAUUCACAAACAGCUUGUGAAUGAUCCUGCCAGCAUGUCCUCUUCCUGCACCGGUGACUAACACUUCAGGCUGCUCCAGCAGGCAACUCACAAACCUAGGAGACAGAGACAGGCAAUGAAAGGGUGGAAAGUGAGCUGUCCAGGCCACUGGGCGUCCAUCCUCCCACAGGAGUUUUGUGGACAAAUCCUCAAGCUGAUGCUGGCUAAACCCAACAAGGUUGGAGUGAAAUUUUACAGCAAGAUAAGAUUGACAUUUGGAAUUAUUAUCGACUUAACUGACAAUCUUCCUGCUUUUUCACCUGUGCUCAUAAAAAAUGUUUAAAGCCUAUCUCUGUCAAAGUGUAAGAAAAAAUAUUCAGUCUGUUUUUUUCAGACUAGAAGCUUAGAAAAUGCUACAGUUAAUAAAAGAUGAAAAAAAAUUUGUAUAAUAUAAACCAAGUUAUAUUUAUCCAAUAAAAGCAAUGAUCCAUA